GACGAACGCUGGCGGCGUGCCUAAUACAUGCAAGUAGAACGCUGAAGGAGGAGCUUGCUCUUCUGGACGAGUUGCGAACGGGUGAGUAACGCGUAGGUAACCUGCCUGGUAGCGGGGGAUAACUAUUGGAAACGAUAGCUAAUACCGCAUAACAGUAGAUGUUGCAUGACAUUUGCUUAAAAGGUGCAAUUGCACCACUACCAGAUGGACCUGCGUUGUAUUAGCUAGUUGGUGGGGUAACGGCUCACCAAGGCGACGAUACAUAGCCGACCUGAGAGGGUGAUCGGCCACACUGGGACUGAGACACGGCCCAGACUCCUACGGGAGGCAGCAGUAGGGAAUCUUCGGCAAUGGACGGAAGUCUGACCGAGCAACGCCGCGUGAGUGAAGAAGGUUUUCGGAUCGUAAAGCUCUGUUGUAAGAGAAGAACGAGUGUGAGAGUGGAAAGUUCACACUGUGACGGUAGCUUACCAGAAAGAGACGGCUAACUACGUG
RNAcentral lists this ribosomal RNA (495 nucleotides) under uncultured bacterium. Its description in RNAcentral is "partial 16S ribosomal RNA". It matches the Rfam family "Bacterial small subunit ribosomal RNA", at positions 28 to 507 of the family's 1533-position model. The record is from RNAcentral.